This 528-nucleotide ribosomal RNA is filed under the name Achromobacter sp. Its description in RNAcentral is "bacterial SSU rRNA". It matches the Rfam family "Bacterial small subunit ribosomal RNA", at positions 448 to 990 of the family's 1533-position model. The record is from RNAcentral. Lineage: Bacteria; Pseudomonadati; Pseudomonadota; Betaproteobacteria; Burkholderiales; Alcaligenaceae.
ACGUCCCGGGCUAAUACCCGGUGAAACUGACGGUACCUGCAGAAUAAGCACCGGCUAACUACGUGCCAGCAGCCGCGGUAAUACGUAGGGUGCAAGCGUUAAUCGGAAUUACUGGGCGUAAAGCGUGCGCAGGCGGUUCGGAAAGAAAGAUGUGAAAUCCCAGAGCUUAACUUUGGAACUGCAUUUUUAACUACCGGGCUAGAGUGUGUCAGAGGGAGGUGGAAUUCCGCGUGUAGCAGUGAAAUGCGUAGAUAUGCGGAGGAACACCGAUGGCGAAGGCAGCCUCCUGGGAUAACACUGACGCUCAUGCACGAAAGCGUGGGGAGCAAACAGGAUUAGAUACCCUGGUAGUCCACGCCCUAAACGAUGUCAACUAGCUGUUGGGGCCUUCGGGCCUUGGUAGCGCAGCUAACGCGUGAAGUUGACCGCCUGGGGAGUACGGUCGCAAGAUUAAAACUCAAAGGAAAUUGACGGGAAACUCAAGGGAUUUGACGGAACUUCAAGGGAUUUGCGAGAGAUUGAGGGUCG